This 78-nucleotide transfer RNA is filed under the name Patescibacteria group bacterium. RNAcentral describes it as "tRNA-Pro". It matches the Rfam family "tRNA". Rfam says of the family: Transfer RNA (tRNA) molecules are approximately 80 nucleotides in length. The record is from RNAcentral.
CGGGAUGUAGCGCAGUCUGGUAAGCGCGCCUGCUUCGGGGGCAGGAGGUCGUGGGUUCAAAUCCCACCAUCCCGACCA